RNAcentral lists this ribosomal RNA (531 nucleotides) under uncultured bacterium. Its description in RNAcentral is "partial 16S ribosomal RNA". It matches the Rfam family "Bacterial small subunit ribosomal RNA", at positions 355 to 902 of the family's 1533-position model. The record is from RNAcentral.
UGGGGAAUAUUGGACAAUGGGGGCAACCCUGAUCCAGCAAUGCCGCGUGUGUGAAGAAGGUUUUCGGAUUGUAAAGCACUUUCGGCGGGGACGAUGAUGACGGUACCCGCAGAAGAAGCCCCGGCUAACUUCGUGCCAGCAGCCGCGGUAAUACGAAGGGGGCUAGCGUUGCUCGGAAUGACUGGGCGUAAAGGGCGUGUAGGCGGUUUGUACAGUCAGAUGUGAAAUCCCCGGGCUUAACCUGGGAGCUGCAUUUGAUACGUGCAGACUAGAGUGUGAGAGAGGGUUGUGGAAUUCCCAGUGUAGAGGUGAAAUUCGUAGAUAUUGGGAAGAACACCGGUGGCGAAGGCGGCAACCUGGCUCAUGACUGACGCUGAGGCGCGAAAGCGUGGGGAGCAAACAGGAUUAGAUACCCUGGUAGUCCACGCUGUAAACGAUGUGUGCUGGAUGUUGGGCCAACUUAGUUGUUCAGUGUCGUAGCUAACGCGAUAAGCACACCGCCUGGGGAGUACGGCCGCAAGGUUGAAACUC